AGUAACGGCGAGUGAAGCGGCAACAGGUCAAAUUUGAAAUCUGGCGCAAGCCCGAGUUGUAAUUUGUAGAGGAUGUUUCUGGCGACGUGCCUUCCGGGUUCCCUGGAACGGGACGCCAUAGAGGGUGAGAGCCCCGUACGGUUGGAUGCCUAGCCUCUGUGAAACUCCUUCGACGAGUCGAGUUGUUUGGGA
RNAcentral lists this ribosomal RNA (192 nucleotides) under Clonostachys byssicola. RNAcentral describes it as "partial large subunit ribosomal RNA". It matches the Rfam family "Eukaryotic large subunit ribosomal RNA", at positions 82 to 279 of the family's 3401-position model. Lineage: Eukaryota; Fungi; Ascomycota; Sordariomycetes; Hypocreales; Bionectriaceae. The record is from RNAcentral.